GUUCUCCCUGACUCCUUGAGGGUCCUGAAGGAACGUUGAAGACGACGACGUUGAUAGGCCGGGUGUGUAAGCGCAGCGAUGCGUUGAGCUAACCGGUACUAAUGAACCGUGAGGCUUAACCUUACAACGCCGAAG
This 135-nucleotide ribosomal RNA is filed under the name Escherichia coli. RNAcentral describes it as "partial 23S ribosomal RNA". It matches the Rfam family "Bacterial large subunit ribosomal RNA", at positions 2808 to 2925 of the family's 2925-position model. The record is from RNAcentral. Lineage: Bacteria; Pseudomonadati; Pseudomonadota; Gammaproteobacteria; Enterobacterales; Enterobacteriaceae.